Long non-coding RNA from Oncorhynchus tshawytscha (Chinook salmon), 424 nucleotides. The record is from Ensembl. NCBI's taxonomy places the organism in Eukaryota, Metazoa, Chordata, Actinopteri, Salmoniformes, Salmonidae.
CACAACUACUAUCAUUGGAUUUUUGGGCCUAUUAUAUUUUCAAGCUUAUACUGAUAUUGCAGAAUUUGCUCGUCCAUUUAAUAGAAGAAAACAUUGAAAGUUUACAUUAUUAGAUGCCAAAAUGUACCUCAGAGAAGAGAAAGCCAUCAGAGAAUACAGCCUCGAUAUUGGCAGGUGCAACAUAGAACUGAAAACUCAAAAUGGAGGACAGAGACAACAUGGAUACUAGUGAAGUUGCAAUACACUGCAGAUUGCUGAUUCACCAAAACAAAUUCAGUGUGCAGCUCAUAACUGGAAUCCCUAAAGCUGUUUCCCAAGUUCCCAAAAUGCCAAUGACACAUUCAGAGAAAGACACUCCCCGGAAAACCAACUUCAAUUUCAUGGUGACACUGACUCUGAAUGGGAACCCCCAGAGCCAAGGUGU